This 77-nucleotide small RNA is filed under the name Xanthomonas axonopodis pv. vasculorum. Its description in RNAcentral is "sX9". Lineage: Bacteria; Pseudomonadati; Pseudomonadota; Gammaproteobacteria; Lysobacterales; Lysobacteraceae. The record is from RNAcentral.
AGGCAGCAGACCUGUAAUCCGGUUUCUGCGCGCUGCCCGCCACCCCCUGGCGGCCGAUUUGCUCCGUUUCGGUAGCC